Molecule: ribosomal RNA, 512 nt
Filed under: uncultured bacterium
Lineage: Bacteria
Description: partial 16S ribosomal RNA
Rfam family: Bacterial small subunit ribosomal RNA
Source: RNAcentral
GAUGAACACUGGCGGCGUGCCUAAUACAUGCAAGUCGAACGAAACUUCUUUAUCACCGAGUGCUUGCACUCACCGAUAAAGAGUUGAGUGGCGAACGGGUGAGUAACACGUGGGCAACCUGCCCAAAAGAGGGGGAUAACACUUGGAAACAGGUGCUAAUACCGCAUAACCAUAGUUACCGCAUGGUAACUAUGUAAAAGGUGGCUAUACUACCGCUUUUGGAUGGGCCCGCGGCGCAUUAGCUAGUUGGUAGGGUAAAGGCUUACCAAGGCAAUGAUGCGUAGCCGAAUUGAGAGGUUGAUCGGCCACAUUGGGACUGAGACACGGCCCAAACUCCUACGGGAGGCAGCAGUAGGGAAUCUUCCACAAUGGGCGAAAGCCUGAUGGAGCAACGCCGCGUGGGUGAAGAAGGUCUUCGGAUCGUAAAACCCUGUUGUUAGAGAAGAAAGUGCGUGAGAGUAACUGUUCACGUUUCGACGGUAUCUAACCAGAAAGCCACGGCUAACUACGUG